UACGUAGGGGGCAAGCGUUGUCCGGAUUUAUUGGGCGUAAAGAGCUUGUAGGCGGUUUGUCGCGUCUGCUGUGAAAUUUCGGGGCUCAACCCCGAACUUGCAGUGGGUACGGGCAGACUAGAGUGUGGUAGGGGAGACUGGAAUUCCUGGUGUAGCGGUGAAAUGCGCAGAUAUCAGGAGGAACACCGAUGGCGAAGGCAAGUCUCUGGGCCAUAACUGACGCUGAGAAGCGAAAGCAUGGGGAGCGAACAGG
RNAcentral lists this ribosomal RNA (253 nucleotides) under uncultured bacterium. RNAcentral describes it as "partial 16S ribosomal RNA". It matches the Rfam family "Bacterial small subunit ribosomal RNA", at positions 524 to 776 of the family's 1533-position model. The record is from RNAcentral.